This 253-nucleotide ribosomal RNA is filed under the name uncultured bacterium. RNAcentral's name for it is "partial 16S ribosomal RNA". It matches the Rfam family "Bacterial small subunit ribosomal RNA", at positions 524 to 776 of the family's 1533-position model. The record is from RNAcentral.
UACGUAGGGUGCGAGCGUUGUCCGGAAUUAUUGGGCGUAAAGGGCUCGUAGGCGGUUUGUCGCGUCGGCUGUGAAAACUCGGGGCUCAACUCCGAGCUUGCAGUCGAUACGGGCAGGCUAGAGUUCGGCAGGGGAGACUGGAAUUCCUGGUGUAGCGGUGAAAUGCGCAGAUAUCAGGAGGAACACCGGUGGCGAAGGCGGGUCUCUGGGCUACUACUGACGCUGAGAAGCGAAAGCAUGGGGAGCGAACAGG